This 64-nucleotide transfer RNA is filed under the name Neopetrolisthes maculatus (porcelain anemone crab). Its description in RNAcentral is "tRNA-Ile". The record is from RNAcentral. Lineage: Eukaryota; Metazoa; Arthropoda; Malacostraca; Decapoda; Porcellanidae.
GAUAAAGUGCCUGAUUAAAGGAUUACAUUGAUAGUGUAACUAAUGCAUUUUUAUGCCUUUAUUA